ACUAUCAUUUUAAGUUGUAUGUAUUAACAUAUUUGUGUUGCAAUGAGGCGAGAAGGAUACAUAUUUUUAGUGUACCAACAGACAGAAUGCAGUAUUGUGGCUUAGGACAGAGCUCUGUGAAUAUUAUUGUUAUUGUAAAGUUCCUUAAAUAAUUAUGUUCAGUUCUGAGGCCAUAAGAACUGAGUAGUUUUCAGUUUUGAAAAAUUAAUUUGAGUUUAAAGGAAUGUUGCCUAAUGUUAUCCCAAGAACAGUUAUUGUGAUGUGGUCAUUGUGUUCUUUACACAUCACCAUCUUUCCUUAGAGACCUUGGAGAUUUCUUUUAUGUGCUUGUUUACCUGUACUUUUUGUUCUGUUGAGUUUUUGAGACAGUUUCUCUGUGUAGCCCUGGCUAUCCUGGAAGUUACUGUGUAGACAAGGCUGGACUUGGAACUCUUGCUUCUGCCUCCCAAAUGCUGGAUUAAAGGCAUGUUCUACCAUCCCCUGUAAUUUUUUGGAAAUUUUGUAGUUUACCUUUAUUCACCUCACAGAAAUAUUUGAGUAAGCCAUACAAAGCAUUCCUUCUGUUAUCUUGUUAUUUGUGUGGGGGCCAGAGCUCCAUACUCAUGUUAGACCAGUGGGGAUUUUCAAGCUGUGUUCUGUGGAACCCAAAAUUCAGAAACCAUUGACGUGAUCUAGAAUUUGUUACCCUGGUUUGUAACGUUAUAAGAUUUUUGACCAUACCCAAGUCACUAUGACUUAGCCAAUUCUUAGAAACAGCAAGGGCUCAUCCAGGAGAAUUUAUUCAGUCCUAAACCAUAUGAACCUCCAUCUGACCACGCAUCCAAGAUGCAGUAAUCCUAUGCCUUCAUCAUCCUAGGCGACCUGGAGCCAAUAUAGUAAAGAGUUGGUCAGGAUAUUCAAAGUAACCACUUCUGAGAUGGUUCUCUUUCUCCACCUUGAUUUUUAUAUGAAGACCCUAACAGCUCUGGACUAAUGCUUUCUCCUGACUUCUAAUCACACCAUUCUACUUCCCAUGCGAACCUGUGACGAUUUUGUCUCUAGGAGCUAUGAGUCUCUUUCUGUAGCAAUUUAAUUCUAAUAAAAAAUGGGUAGUUACCCAGGAUAAUUGAGCCUGCUCUCUGCCAGUGUUGAUGCUCUUUCCCAUCCAUUCUCUGUGUACCCACAUCGUAUAUGUGUGUGUCCCCAUCAUACCCCAGAAGUCCUCAGAAGUCAUGAACCAGAAUCACUACUUAAAAAGUUGUAUUUUGUUUGUGUGACCAUGUUGCAGUUUGUGUGACUUGAUUCACUGGAUUUCAAUUUGGCAUUUAGGUAUAGUAAAAUGUAUAGUCCUUGAUAUAAAUGUUGUUCCUUAACUCUUAUGAUAGUACAUUUUCUUAUGUAACUCACGAAGACAUCUGCAAUUGCUUUCAUGGUAAGUACUGUAUAUCUUUUUAUUCUUAUUUAUUUUUGGUUUUUGGAGACAAAGUUUUUCUGUGUAGACAAGGCUGGCCUCUAGUUCAAAGAUUUGCUUCCUGGAAUUAAAGGCAUGGGUCACUGCCACCUGCUAUAUUUUUUGAACAACCUGUAGAUUCUCACAAUUCCCCAUACACUCAGCCUGUUGAUAUUUUCAGGAGUUGGGAAUAUUUUUUGCCUUUUUCUGCAGCAGUGUGUUGCUAGGUUGCUUCUGUUUCUCUUUAUGGCAGUAACCUCUUUCACAGAUUUUAUUUCAUGUGUGGGAGAGCAGGGCAACCAAGGGACAAGGAACUUAAGUCAGCAGGACUUAACAGCCUUUUGAAGCUUAAGCUGGAUAUAGGGAAUGGGAAACAUAAGUAUUGUCAUGAAACUCUACAGUAAGUAGUCAUCACAAGUGAAACCUGGUGAGCAGUUAUCUGAAUCUGUUUUAUAAUCUUGUUCUUAAUCCUGCUCCAUCUUCUGUGUCCCAUGUUUACUGCUUGAAGUGACAGUGUUAUAUGUUCACUAAAGUGAAGGACACUACAUCCAAAAUUGUGAAAUAAAACUCUAUGCCUGUUUAUAUUAUGCAUGUUUCAAAAGACAACAUGUGUAUUGCCCACCCAGAGUGAUCAACUGGCCAAGUUAUCAUUUCAUAUACAAACUGAAUUUCAAUGAAAAGACUAUUGGUAAUACAAAUGCCCUUGUCCUAUUUUACCAGCACAGUUUUUAUGCAUUUUAAUGAAGUUUGAGGAAAGCUUUAUUAGUCUGAAAUUGCAUAAAAGCUCUGUAGUAUAUGGCUUCAAAGUAGGUUUAUUUGAGGGUAACCUGUUAGUCUGUCAUACCUAGUCUUUAGUGUCCUUUUGCUUAAAUGGUUUAACUGCUUUAAGAGACAGUAUUUAUAUGAGACUAAAAGGGUGUAUAGUCUCAGAAUAUACAGAACACCAAGUAAAACAAAAUAAGGAUCAGAAAAUUUCCGUGAGAAGAGCUAAUUCUGAGAAUUGUGAGUCUAUGAGCUGACGUGUCUUCAUUUUAUGUGCAGGGUGCAGCAGGGUGGUGGUAGGGCCUUCAUUUUAUUGACUCUGACAUCAUCGGGCCUAGGUUUCUGAUUUUUUUUUUUUUUUUAAGACAGGGUCUCAGGUUGGCCUCAAACUCUUUGUGUAGCCAAGGAUGACCUUCUGGUCCAUCCUGCCUCUUCUCCUUUGCACUGGAAUUGCAGGCAUGUGCCAUGACUAUGGCCCAUGACCAUGACCCAUGACUUACCUGGUGUUGGGGAUAGAAGGCUGGCACUCUACCAAAUGAGAUGAGCCUGUAUUUGUAUUUCUGUUUUUGUGUGUGUGUGUGUUUUUUUAAGAGAAAUUCUCAAGUAGCCCGUGGUGGCCUAGAACUCACUGUUUUGCAAAGGUUAUCCUGGGAUUCUUAGUUCUCUUGCCCUCACCUCCCAAGUGUUGAGACUAAAAACACGCACCACCUAACCUGGUAUCCUGGGACUAAACCUACACUUCUGAUUUCAGAUCUCCCUUACAACAUUACUUAUGAUCUACAGCAUUCCUACCGUUGUUAAGUAUUUAUUUAUUUUGCCAGGUGAUACACUGUUGGCCAUUCAGGCACCUUCUGGUACACAGCUGGAAGUACCUAUUCCAGAAAUGGUAUGUAGCACAGCUGUUAUAGAAAUGGUAUGUAGCAUAGCUGUUAUACAAGUGAAG
This 3134-nucleotide long non-coding RNA is filed under the name Mus musculus (house mouse). RNAcentral describes it as "long non-coding RNA chr3:14599635-14602769". Lineage: Eukaryota; Metazoa; Chordata; Mammalia; Rodentia; Muridae. The record is from RNAcentral.